This 377-nucleotide ribosomal RNA is filed under the name Protacanthamoeba bohemica. RNAcentral describes it as "SSU rRNA". It matches the Rfam family "Eukaryotic small subunit ribosomal RNA", at positions 740 to 1095 of the family's 1831-position model. Lineage: Eukaryota; Discosea; Longamoebia; Acanthamoebidae. The record is from RNAcentral.
GGCCCAGAUCGUUUACCGUGAAGAAAUUAGAGUGUUCAAAGCGGGCGCGAAAGCAAUUUCUCGCCGUUGAAUACGUCAGCAUGGGAUAAUGGGAAUAGGACCCCGCUCUCCUAUUUUCCGUUGGUUUCCGGGAGCGGGGUAAUGAUUGAUAGGGAUAGUUGGGGGCAUCGAUAUUUAAUUGUCAGAGGUGAAAUUCUUGGAUUUAUUGAAAGAUCGACUUCCGCGAAAGCAUUUGCCAAGGAUGUUUUCAUUAAUCAAGAACGAAAGUUAGGGGAUCGAAGACGAUCAGAUACCUCGUGUCGUAGUCUUAACCAUAAACCGUGCCGACCAGCGAUCGGGAGACGUCGCAUGGAUGACUCCCCUAGCAGCUUGUGAGA